Long non-coding RNA from Dermochelys coriacea (leatherback sea turtle), 210 nucleotides. RefSeq lists it as uncharacterized. The transcript has 3 exons. NCBI's taxonomy places the organism in Eukaryota, Metazoa, Chordata, Testudines, Dermochelyidae. The record is from RefSeq and is a predicted model, not a curated record.
CUCCACCUAGAUGGUCACUUUGGCUGCUGUAGGAGCCCCAGUUUCUCUGUUAUUGGGGCAGGAAUAAACUGUUAUUAUCCUGAUUAUGUGAAUCAAGGACAGUGGAACUGUAGUUGGUCUUUUCUUAUGCUGGAGGGACUCACCAUUAACUAAGCAGCACUCGCUAGGCAAGGGUCAUGGGUUCUAAAACCCAGUGAAGGGAGAGAGGCU